Molecule: unclassified non-coding RNA, 4370 nt
Filed under: Agrilus planipennis (emerald ash borer)
Lineage: Eukaryota; Metazoa; Arthropoda; Insecta; Coleoptera; Buprestidae
Description: uncharacterized LOC108745182, transcript variant X1
Source: RNAcentral
GUGGAGGUGCGUGUCCAACCAAUCUUAGGACUGAUUACCUCAUGAGGAUGAUGUGAAAUGAUUAACGUUAUCCAUAUCCAUACGCAUGCGCUGAGAAACGGUUUGCUUAUUACUUAUCUAUGGUUUGCCGGCUCGUCGUUUGUCAUUCUCGUGUGUGUAUGGUUGAAGUGAGGAUGCGUUUGGUUUUGUAAAACUGAAAUCAGGUUUUACAAUUAUCAUAGUAUCUUAAAAUUGGAAAGCAAUGUCAAAUCUGAAUUGUCCUCCGAGAAGAAAGAGAAGUUCAGCUACGGAUUCAUCAUCCCAGCCCCAAGCUUCUCUAUCACGAAGUACUCCAAUUAGGGAAAACAGUCCUAUUGAUGAUGUACCAUCACCGAAUAUUUCUAGUAUAAGGUCCUCAUCUAAUUCAAGCAGUCGUAACGUUAGCAUUAAAAAACAGAGACGAUUGUUUGAUGUGGAAAAUCAGACAUCAUUACUACUAAUAACUAACGUAAAUUCAGAAGAUAAAAGCUCAGAUUCUGAAGAAUCAACUUCAAAUGUAACAAUAUUGAAACAAUUUAAGAACAAAGGUCGGAACUGGAGAUUCAUUAAACCUACAAAUCAAAACAAUCUAUAUUUUAAAAUUCUUUCAAAAAGGGAGGAUAUAGAAAGUUUGGCACUGAACUGGUGUAAACAUUAUGUUUAUAAUAAAGAAGAAGCAAUUAUAGAAAUGCAACAACUUUUUAUAGAUUUAACAGGAGUAAGGAAGUUUAAUUUGAAAAAUUUACUUGAGAGUAAUUCACAAUUAGAAAAAGUUUUUGAAACUCUUGAAAACGUCGUUCUAAAUACUGAUUUGGAGAAGUAUUGUCUGUGUAACAGUACUCAUCAGUAUAGUAUAACAUGUUUGGAAGAAAUUUGCAAAUUUCUGAGACUUGUUUGGAUUAUAAGUAGUAAUCAGACAUUUUUAUAUGAUUGCUACAUGUCCUUGCAUGUACUCAAACUUAUAAAUUUAAUGGCUAAUAGUAAAGUAAAAGUAAUACAUCACACUGGGUUGUUUCUUGCUAUAAAAAUAAUAACUUUUCUCACUGAAGUACAUAGGAACAUAAUUAAAAACCCGUUAGAUAAUGAAGAACAGGAAAGGUACCUGAGUCAUUUAUCAAAGAAUGAAGAAGGUUUCAUUCUUCUUUUACAUAAAUGUUGUUGUACUACCAUCAGUGCUCCUCAACGUGCUAAAAUGCAGUAUUUGGAAGAAAUAUUGCAAUGGUUUAAAAGAAUACCUUCUCUUAUGCUCAAUAAACGAUGCUUUAAUUCCCUCUUGGAAUUAGUUGCGGACUCUAAGGAUGCUAAAAUACGUCAAAAAGCAGUAGCAGUAUCUAAGGAUUUAGUGGCGUUGCCUAAAUUUUCACAGUAUAUUAUUCCAAAUUUUGCUACAUUGCUUGAAGCCAUCGAAGAAAGAAUGUGGGACAUAGAUUAUGAUGUUUGUAUUAACGCUGUUGAAUUUUUUGGUGCGGUUAUGAGUCAUUAUCCUCAAUAUUUAAAUUUCAAACUGGAAGUUGCCAUUUCAACUUUAAUGCUUCAAAAGAACUAUCCCCUUGCACGUGCUGCUGGCCAAUUUACAAUAAAAAGCUUUAGAAGGGACAACGAAAAUAAUGAAGACAUUGAUGUGAUUCAUAAACUAAUGCAAUUACUUAGCGUUCCUAAAUUUUUAGAACGUAUUGCGUUAUUGGUGGAAUCGGUCAUCGAUUUUGCAAGAGAAUUACAAAAUUAUGACCUUAUAUUUACAAUGUUGAUGAGGGAAGAUAGCACAGAGGAAGAAGAUAUAAUUUUAUGCAGUCUAUUAUCGCAGAGUGUUGUCCAAAUAGCAACUGGAAGGUCUCCUGUUGUCCGCGACAGAUGCAGAAAAGAAAAACCACAAGAACUAGUCAACCAGAAAAUUGCAUACUUUUUUAUAACCAGACUAUAUGACUUAAUGAGAAAAUUUUCAAGCAAUGCACUUUGCACAAAAAGUUUUUGUGAAAUAUUAUUAGUUUUUAAUUACGAAGAAACUCCUUUAACCCACUAUAACAAGUAUUUGGACCAGCUUAUGAAUUUACAAGAAUCUUUAUUUAUCAACAGUGUAAACGAAGAUGUCCUAGAUUCCUUUUCAAAAUUAUAUUCAACUUGGAUGGCCGAAUACUGUCCUUUUAAACUGCGAGCGUCUGCGGCUUUCGAUAUAGUUUUAGAAAAGACCGUCAAGGUUUACAAAUUAAAUUUGGAAGAAUAUAAUGAAGAAAAAUCCGAACUGGUAAAAUCGAAUUUAGAGAUAGAUCUUUUACAUCUUGAAGUAUUAUUUCGUUACAAUGAUUUAAGAAAAAUUAUUGAUUGGAACACUCUUUUUGUCUCCUGGGAUUUAAACGAUGAAUAUUUUACAAUUCAGUCUAUAGAACGCAACAUGAAGUGUUGCUACUGGUUUCUUUUAUGGGAGGCACGUGGUUUGAAAGAUCUCAAUGUAACUGCCGAUUUGCUGCAACAAAAGAUCGAUCAACUUGAAUUAAAAUGUGCUAGUUUCAUAUCUCAAUGUUUAAUUAUAAUGAGUCAAAACCAAGAAAAACCAACUUUGUUGCAAACAGCAUUUGACGUGAUAAUAGACCUUCACUUAGAAUAUUUAAACGAGUUGUCUGCAAAAUUCAGUAAAGUGCAACCGUUUAAACAACUCCAUCUAAAGGUGUCUACCACUCAAGCUCAAAACGUUCUUGUCGAUUAUGUACUAUCACGUGCUUUCACAGCUGUCGAAAAGAAAACGUUGAAAAUGCGAAGAUCCAAUCUAGCUAAAUUGAUGAACGCUUUUAUCGAGGAUAUUAUACCACACGAAGAACAUUUUACAAAAGUCUUCAUGUUUUACGAUGAGUACUACGAAAAUUACUUUGACAUAUUCAACACCACUCUGGAUAUGUUUCAAAAACUGGGAGGUGUUGCUGUAACGUGUUCAAUAAUUGUACUUACAAUUAGAUAUUCCUACAUCGAGUAUUUGACUUUAAAAGGAAAUUUUGACAGUGCUCAUCCCGAAAUUGAACAAAUAAACGCUUUGGGACAACGUUUCUUGCAGUAUUUGAAGAGUAAUAAAGCAGCUGAAGAUUCGGUUUUAGGUGUUCUCAAACAUGCUGUCUCAUAUACAUCUUCCGUUUUGGAACACCGACAUUUUUUGCACUUCUUCAAUUCGUUUAUACCCGCCUUGAAAAUUAACCAACAUAAAGAAUUAUUCGAUCAUAUAAUGAAAUGUAUGCCUGAAGGCGAUGAAGAUGCACCAGAAGCAUUUGUUCGUUUUGCCAAGAAGUUGAAUUGUAAAAAAGGAAAAAGUUACUCUUCAUUAUGACUGAAUUUUUAAAAUCGACGACACUAAAGUGAGCAGUAUUUUAUUAAUAAUAUAAUCGUUUUUUCAUUUACUUCAGUUUUAUUGUUUUUCAUUUACUGAAAAUGCUAAAUAAGUUUAAUUACCCAAGAAUUGGAAAUUUAUUUUGUACUUAAUACUAGAUCAAUGUUUUUGCAGUGUUAUAUAAACUUAAAUAAUACUAAGUUAAGAUUAGUUCGUGUUUCUUAUUUUACACAUUCGGCAACAAAACACCUUAUUCAUAAAAUGAAGUUUAACUUCAACUUAUUUAACCAUACAAUCUUCCUCAAAAUCUUCAAAAUUUCUAACCUACCCACCGGGUGAGGGGAUAAAGUAAAAAUUUUGAAAGAUUUAUGGAAUGUUAUGUAGUAAGUAGGGGAAUUUUAUUUUAAUGUCUAUUUCAUCUGCUCUAUAAUUUCUAGCAUCAGCAAUUUCACCAGUUAAACGUAACAUACAGAAUCGAUUAUGAAGCACUUAUUAGAAUAAAAUUUCAUUUUAAUGCUAAUUAUUUUAUAGUCAUGUAGACAUAUAUUCAUUUAUUUAAGUGAUUCACUGACGCACAAUACCUUGUUACCUCUGAUACAUGGAAAAAAUCGAUAAAAAAUGAAUAUAUCGUAUUCAAAUGCAAAUCAACCUCCGAAAACUGUACAUGCAUAUACCUCGUUAACAUUAUUGCAUCUGACUUUUUUUUUACACGUUGUCACACAGACAUUUAUUUUGUGACAAUAGCCUACCAAAUUCUUGAAAAAUUUUGAUUAUUUUCCUGAUAUUUUAAAAACGCACAAAAGGGCAGAAAAACUUUUGGGUGUUUCAUUCCCACUAGUCACUAAUUUAAAGUGCGCGCCUUUUUUUAUUUAGUAUUGACCAGACCUGCUGGAGGGCGCGCAAAUCAGCGCAUUUCGAAUUGACCAUUAUUACCGUUUGUAUAUCUAUUAUCUUUGACUUCAAUGAUAGAGGUGUCGACUCUCCUAUCAUAACUAAUGCAGACUAAACCUGACAGAUGGCGGUGUUUGCAGCGUUUAAAGAU